This 298-nucleotide ribosomal RNA is filed under the name uncultured Actinomycetales bacterium. RNAcentral describes it as "partial 16S ribosomal RNA". It matches the Rfam family "Bacterial small subunit ribosomal RNA", at positions 505 to 802 of the family's 1533-position model. Lineage: Bacteria; Bacillati; Actinomycetota; Actinomycetes; Actinomycetales. The record is from RNAcentral.
GUGCCAGCAGCCGCGGUAAUACGUAGGGUGCGAGCGUUGUCCGGAAUUACUGGGCGUAAAGGGCUCGUAGUGGUUUGUCGCGUCGUCUGUGAAAUUCCGGGGCUUAACUCCGGGCGUGCAGGCGAUACGGGCAUAACUUGAGUACUGUAGGGGUAACUGGAAUUCCUGGUGUAGCGGUGAAAUGCGCAGAUAUCAGGAGGAACACCGAUGGCGAAGGCAGGUUACUGGGCAGUUACUGACGCUGAGGAGCGAAAGCAUGGGUAGCGAACAGGAUUAGAUACCCUGGUAGUCAAGGGCG